This is a long non-coding RNA of Nicotiana tabacum (common tobacco), 1408 nucleotides long. RefSeq lists it as uncharacterized. The record is from RefSeq and is a predicted model, not a curated record. Lineage: Eukaryota; Viridiplantae; Streptophyta; Magnoliopsida; Solanales; Solanaceae.
GAAAAGGGAGACAAAAAUAAGGCCUAAUACAUAGAUCUAAGGAUCCGUCGUUCUUCAACAUACACGGCCACCCACCCCUUUCUUCAUCUUCUUCGAAGAAACACAAAAGAUAAAACAGAGCUUCCCCUUCAAAUUUCAACGCUGGAACCAGCCGAAAAGAGAACAAAAAAUGAAAAAAUAGACCUAGAUGCCAAGAGUUGAGACCCGCCGCUGACACCCCAAACGACCCCUGAACAUUCUGUUUCUUCUUCAACCAAAGUCACGACCCCUCAUCCAAAGACACUUACACAGCCAUAUACAGAGAACAGAGUGAAUAAAAAUGGAAUUCGACUGAAAUUUGGAUUUGAGUUCGCGUUCGAUUCGAGAGUCUUGGUGCCGAGUCGAGUUCCCAACUGUUGCUUGAGGUUCCAGUCACAAUUUCUGUUCGUUUCUUUUUUGCUGUUUCACAACUGAUUUAUCGGAGUCUAAGGCAUGUGUAUUCAUCGCUUCUUUAUUGUUAAUUGAAGAGAAUUUCGGCUUAACAGGAAUGUUGAAGUUGACUAUACAUCUAUGGUGUUUGAUGAUAUGUCUGCAAGAGGUUGUCUGCAGAAUAUAUUCAUGCAUAUGACUGCUAUGUGAAGUGUAAGGAAAAGAGUUCCAUUCAAAGAAGAAGCCACCAGUACUACUAUCUAUUGUAAGAGAAAAAGAAUUUUUGGACCAAUAGUACCACUAGAUGCUAGAUAUCACCACAUUGUAAGACAAGAAUUGAACGGCAGGCCAGCCUAUAAGUCGCAUAACUGAAUCUGCCACAAACCACAAGGUUAGCAGCAAGCUGGUUCGUCGACCAAAGCUAUAAUGUUCUCUCUACACAAGUCCAACAAAGGUAGUUCGACUGCAAGCCCAUGACAAUUCUGUACCCUCCAAGUUUGUUUUUCCAAUAGUAUUAUCUCAAAAGCCUUCGCUAAUGUAGGCCUCUGUGAAGUUCUUCAGCCUCCUUGCAGGAAAGCAAGUUAUCUUAUUCACUAUUGGUUCCCACCUGUAGCGCAUCUAUACCACACAUGUUCCUUGAAGUAGCAAAUGGUGUCAUGAUCAAUAACCAACCAUGUCUGUGGAAUUUAGGCACCCUCACUGCUAUUCUGGCAUUUGUUAAUAAUCAACUCAGCAACAAAGUGAGGACAUAGAGCAGGUUUUUGCUUCAUCUUCUCUACAUGGUUUUUACUUUUUCUUUUCUUCAGAAUUUGAUAGACGGCGGUGACAUUUUUCAUUAAAGAUCUGUAGUUAACGUUAGAUGAACUUUGCUAAUAAUGUCUCCUACCCUGAUGAUAGUGCAUGUGUGAUGAUUUGGCAUCAGUAGCGGCAAAGUUUAGCAUAGUUUAUCCUUGGAUUCUUUUAAAAAAUAUAGCUCUCUGCACGUCUAAAUUUAUACUUA